Long non-coding RNA from Oreochromis niloticus (Nile tilapia), 342 nucleotides. RefSeq lists it as uncharacterized. The record is from RefSeq and is a predicted model, not a curated record. The transcript is spliced from 3 exons. Lineage: Eukaryota; Metazoa; Chordata; Actinopteri; Cichliformes; Cichlidae.
CCUCUGCUGUGGAGACGCUCAAGAUGCUGAGCUGAGCCUUAAACCAAACGUGUCCCAUUUAUUUGCUGGAGAGUCUGUAACCUUCAUCUGUGACAUGAGAGAGGGAAAUGCCACUGACUGGCUUUACAAAUUCAACUGGAAUGAUCAAGAAAUGGUCCAAUUCAAUAAAAGUAGCUCCUACUCACUUUACCUGACAGCAGAGCUGAGUGGGAAUUAUCAAUGUAUUGGUCGCCACAAUGGCUUGAAAGAUUUUACAAAACAGAGUAAUAACCUGACUCUGUCCAUAUCAGCACACAGACCCACGGCGACUAUAACAGCAGACAAGACAACUAUUCCAGUGGG